This is a long non-coding RNA of Topomyia yanbarensis, 1317 nucleotides long. RefSeq lists it as uncharacterized. Lineage: Eukaryota; Metazoa; Arthropoda; Insecta; Diptera; Culicidae. The transcript has 4 exons. The record is from RefSeq and is a predicted model, not a curated record.
AGAUCAGUUUCGAACGGGACUUCUGAGCGGUUGCAAGUUUUGUGUGUACGGUUGGUUGUUUACUUUCUUUGGGUAAUGCAUAUAACCGUUGAUGGUGUUACAGUGUAGAGUGAAAAAGGAUUCGCGCGCGCUGCUAAUCUUAUUCUUUUGGGGAGUUUUUGGUGGAGAAUAAUAAUCGUGACCGUAGAGUGGAAUUUAAUCAAGCGUGGAAUUCGAUUAUGUGCUUGUGUUGAUGCGGAAUUUUACAGCAAACCGGUGUACUGAAUUACUGAAGUUUUGUAAAGCAGCCGACAUCUAAUUUUGCGGAAAGUGCUGCGAUUCGGUUUCUUUUGAUCGUGGACCCAUAAAAAAGAGCCAGAGGAUUAUCUGAAUCUUUGGUCGAGAAGUAAAAUCUAAAAAAUAGUGAGUGCUGACAAUUAAUUUCCAACCGGAAUAAAUGAGGAUAAGUGUAACAGUGAAAGGUACAGCAAAAAUAUAAAACGAAUCCGUUGAUUGUAUUUUUUGCAAACACCUAGCAGUGAAGCCGGAGCCAGGGUGAAUGAAGCAAUUGGAAUUGUGAUCCGGAUACCUAUUUGUGCUGGUCGGCAUCUACCAUCAAAUUAAUAAUCUGCUUUAAUCACCAUUUGGUACACUGCGGCAGUGUAACAGCAGCUGCUGCUAGAAACGGCGAAGAAAAAAAAGGUGAAAUAACAUUUUGCCAAGCUUGCACGAGCACAACAGGAAGUCGCCGAAACGAACAAAUCGUACGGAACAGAUUUGAGAAUAGAAAAAAAAAUAUUGAAAGAUUAUUCGACGUCGUGUGUGAUCCAGCCCAUCGGUCGUCUACUGGUAACGUUCUGUUCCAGAAUUUGAGCACCGAGUCGCUGGUUGUUUGCCAUUUGCCUGCCCGGGGGAUUGAUCAUUCACAAGUGGAUUGCCGGUUUCGAGUGUUGUGUAGAUCCAGCUUGGCAAGUGUUUAAAGUUUUAUCGUUCGGAAACUAGCUCAGAUUAGUUUGAUUAAUACGAAGCAAUCAGUUUUCGCCAAGGUGAGAAAGGCGUGUGCACAGUUACGAAGAAAAAGUGAUAGAAAUAGCGCUCUGACGGGAAUGUUUUAAGUGUCGAAAAAGUUCGAAAGUAAAUACAGAGAAAAAAAGUGUGCUUAAUUUGGAUGUGAUUGAAGGCCACUCAAGUGUUUCGAUUUCAUACGAAGAUACGUUCGAGCAGCAAAACAAACGGAUAUAUUGUUUCUGUGGAUUGGUGCAGGAAACCAUCAACAACAACUUACUUCGGACGGAAUCAUCUACGACUGAAAAUCUAAAGUAAGUAAUAAAAUGUAUA